RNAcentral lists this ribosomal RNA (497 nucleotides) under uncultured bacterium. Its description in RNAcentral is "partial 16S ribosomal RNA". It matches the Rfam family "Bacterial small subunit ribosomal RNA", at positions 28 to 507 of the family's 1533-position model. The record is from RNAcentral.
GAUGAACGCUGGCGGCGUGCCUAAUACAUGCAAGUCGAGCGAACAGACGAGGAGCUUGCUCCUCUGACGUUAGCGGCGGACGGGUGAGUAACACGUGGAUAACCUACCUAUAAGACUGCGAUAACUUCGGGAAACCGGAGCUAAUACCGGAUAAUAUAUUGAACCGCAUGGUUCAAUAGUGAAAGACGGUUUUGCUGUCACUUAUAGAUGGAUCCGCGCCGCAUUAGCUAGUUGGUAAGGUAACGGCUUACCAAGGCAACGAUGCGUAGCCGACCUGAGAGGGUGAUCGGCCACACUGGAACUGAGACACGGUCCAGACUCCUACGGGAGGCAGCAGUAGGGAAUCUUCCGCAAAGGGCGAAAGCCUGACGGAGCAACGCCGCGUGAGUGAUGAAGGUCUUCGGAUCGUAAAACUCUGUUAUUAGGGAAGAACAAAUGUGUAAGUAACUAUGCACGUCUUGACGGUACCUAAUCAGAAAGCCACGGCUAACUACGUG